This is a non-coding RNA of Petromyzon marinus (sea lamprey), 422 nucleotides long. NCBI's taxonomy places the organism in Eukaryota, Metazoa, Chordata, Hyperoartia, Petromyzontiformes, Petromyzontidae. The record is from RefSeq and is a predicted model, not a curated record.
CACACGAAUUGUAAACACCAACAACAACAAAUCGUGACGUCUUUGUGUUUCUACGUAAGAUUCUGAGGUAAAAUAAUAAUUACCUUAUACACACGAAUUGUAAACAACAAAUCGUGACGUCUUUGUGUUUCUACGUAAGAUUCUGAGGUAAAAUAAUUAUUACCUUAUACACACAAAUUGUAAACAACAACAAAUCGUGACGUCUUUGUGUUUCUACGUAAGGUUCUGAGGUAAAAUAAUAAUUACCUUAUACACACGAAUUGUAAACAACAACAAAUCGUGACGUGAUUGUGUUUCUACGUAAGGUUCUGAGGUAAAAUAAUAAUUACCUUAUACACACGAAUUGUAAACAACAACAAAUCGUGACGUCUUUGUGUUUCUACGUAAGAGUCUGAGGUAAAAUAAUAAUUACCUUAUACACA